AAAAACAGGAAGUGUCACAUUCAGAUGCAGAUCAUGCUUCAGAUUGAAUCAACUAUAAGGAAGUCAUGUGUCAUUGGAUUGUUUUAAACUAGCUAAUGUUACUUAAUUUGCAUGAAUUAUGAUAAAUAGUCUAAUCCAGAACUACAGACAAGGAAGAAAGAAACAAGGAAAUGCCUAAAGUCCAGGUUAGAUCUCUAAUAGAGGCUGGUUUUUCUACCAAACAUCAUCAUCAUGUAGGAGUUAGAUCUACUCUGUUUAGGACGACCAUGUGUCUGCUCGAGAUGAGCUGCUGAGGUCUGGUACUGAGGUGGAUAACAGAGAGAGGAGAGAUGGAUGAUGUGAUCUCUGUCAGCUCGGACAGUGAGAAAGAAGACUCUGAUGUGGAGAUCAUCGGUUCCUUCAGUGAUGUCAUGACCAGAGCUGAUGACGUGAUGACCAGAGCAGCUGAUGACGUCAUGACCAGAGCAGCUGACCCCCUGCCUCUCACAGCUGUGCGGGUUGACGUCGGUGCCGUCAACGUCAACGUCCCAACGCUUUAUAUUGACCUCACAGAUCCCAGAUGGACUCUUCCACAGCUGAAGUUGCACAAAAGACCGAAUUCCACUGCCUUGACGGUCGACUUGACUGAGACCGACGUAGCAAAUGGGAAGAUUCAGAAGACGGAGAAUUUGCCACCGAAUGAUUCUCAAAUGAAAGAAGAGAGUGCAAAUAAAAAUCAAACUUCAAACAAAGAUGAUUGUAACUCACAGCAAAGCUUCUCAAGAGACCCAACUAUGUUUGCACUACAGCAGGACUUAAAGCCAAAGCAGAUACAUCUGGAUUCUCAAACACAACCCCAAAAGCAGACCGAUGAAGCACAUCAUCGGACAGCAGUUGUAAGAUUAACACGAGUGCCUUUUCUUGAAACUAACGUCGCUGAACUGAAAACGCCAAAGUAUUCUGUCUAUUUAAACAGUGAUCGUGAUCGUAAAAAAAUGUCACUGCACCUCAGGCAACUAAUCGAUAACAGCGAAGCACCAGAGUGCAUUAGUAAUUGGAGUAGAACUGCCGAUCCUCACAUGGAUCCCUCACCGGAUGAGUCUCCUCCUAAGGUGGUUGAAUCGCUUGUCAGACAGGAAGAACAAGGGAACAGUCAUGAACUUCCUAGCACACCGUUAAAUGUUAAAAUAUCUCAGCCUCCACAGAGCCCAGCUGAUUGUCCCUGCUCAGAUGAAGGGGGCUCUGUUGCGACCUCAAAGGAGCACGGCACUCGUGAAGAUGAGUCUUCUUCAUCCGGAGAUAAAGCACAGGAUUCCUCACCAAAAGAAGUCAUCUGCUCCAAACUGCAACAACUGGAAUUGGACAAAGCAGAAUCUAGACAAAGCUCUGAUCACUCAUGCGCCCCCUCUCCCACCACCGGACCAAACCCUUCUGAGCCUUUUGAUCUUGACUCUCUGUCCCACACAAGUCCCAUAUCUCAUAACCUUACGAGCCAAGUCGACCCACCACCCACCUCUGAGCCUACACCGGCUGAGGAUACGUCUGAUUGGCGAUCGGAGGUGGUGGUUAAGGCUGAUGAGGCUUCAAACAGCUCUGACAUCUUGUGCUGGAGCGUCCCAAGUGUACCUGCUUUGUCAAAUGAGGACAUGGAUGACGGAUCUGGGACCGGGACGUGCAGAGGGGAUCUGGGCAUUGACAGUCCAGUGUCUUUUCUUUGGCAAGACGGGAGCGAUGGAGACGAGGUGAACAAAGACAGCAGAUUUGAUAUGGACUUCAGGGCGGCCAGUAGAGAGGACAGGCAAUAUGUGUGCCCAGUUACACUCAGGAAAAUAAUGUCUGGACCAGCUCAAGCCCUGCUCGAUGAGGAAGAUAAAGGUUUUGGAACUCCAGAGGUGCUAUGCCGUCAGAGCCUGAGCCUGGUUUACAGUACCAUCGAUGAGAGUUACCCAGAGGGCACUUUGCAGCUCUUGUCUGACCUGCUGCAGCCAGGUUACUAUCCCCCCCGAGAUAUCACCUCCCACCUGCUGCGUGGCAUUCUGCUCGACCCACAGUGUCCUUAUCACCUGUGCGUGCAGGCCUUUAAUCUGCUGAUGAGGACACAGAGACACCACAAUGCUGAUACUACCACAGUUCCGUGGGACUGGGAAUUGUUGACCUCAGUCAUGGCCACUCAGGACCACGCAAAGAGACAUCCAUGGGAGGUUGUGCGUUUGCUUCUGGACUAUGUUGUGCAGACAUUGGAGGACGACUUCCAGGCCAAACGCUCCAUCUCUGCCCUCCACCAGUCCAUCGCCAAGGCAACAUUGUCGUGUGAUCAGCAUUUCCCUUGCGUCAGGGAGGUCAUCAAGUGGCUCUUUUCUGCCAUCAUGAAAUCAACAGAGCAUGGAGAGAGUAGAGAAGCAGCCAGAGAGAGAGAUGAACAAAUCAGAUUGGUGUCCGUCUUCCAGAGGAUGCUGUCUUUGGCUCUGGAGGUGGACCGUUCUCCAGCUCUAAACUCUGCCAAGCUAUCGCAGGAGCUCUUCCAUAUGCUCAUCGGCAAUAUACGUCUGCGAGCACACAGGAUGUUGUUGCUAGAGAGCCUGCAGAGCAAGCUGCUGAGAUGUAAGCUGUUGGAACAUCUGUUGGACUACGCAUGCCCACGGAAAAUCCCUCUGCCCAUGUCGCUCAGUCUUCUGCUUCACUUUCUGAAGUACUGCACCCUGGCGCCAGACCCUUCGGUGAAUAUCACUCUUUACCUCAUCGGCCAGCCUUUGCUCUUCACAGAUGUAGUGGAUGGUACUGAAAGGUGGCAGAGGUGGGAAGAGUUGGUCCAUCUUCUCUGGAUGUUGCUGCUCAGCUACAACAAAGCGAUGAAAGCCACUGGAGAGGGGUUAAAGAGCCGGCUCUGGAGCCGCAGGUUGCUGACUCCUGAACUAGUCAAAUGUCUUUCCAUUUCUUCUCUGCUUAACCCAAAGGUGUAUAUCCGUCUUUGGCUCAUAUCUGGUAAUUAUUAUUGAUGUAUUCUACUGAAUAAAUGAAUGGAUUUCUGUUAUGCUAUAUGCCAAAUUUGAGUUUUACAAAAUGUAAUAUUGGUGAACUUUUUUUUUUUUUUUUUAUUCAAAUACUCACCUGUAUUGUCAUUAAAGUGUAUUUGUGAUAGUCCUUUUAACCGCUGAUUUCAAUAGAAAUGAUCUCUUCUGGAGAAUCCCUCUAAGACAUGAGUUAUAUUAACUAUUUGAUACCCGAUGUACCUUAUCCCUGAAUAUUAAAACAUUUCAACAACACGUAAUAAAUUACUUCACUUGACUCU
This is an RNA transcript of Sebastes umbrosus (honeycomb rockfish), 3268 nucleotides long. It is a transcript of the gene named SUMO interacting motifs containing 1, with no coding region annotated. Lineage: Eukaryota; Metazoa; Chordata; Actinopteri; Perciformes; Sebastidae. The record is from RefSeq and is a predicted model, not a curated record. The transcript is spliced from 11 exons.